Molecule: non-coding RNA, 100 nt
Organism: Anaerolinea sp. 4484_236
Lineage: Bacteria; Bacillati; Chloroflexota; Anaerolineae; Anaerolineales; Anaerolineaceae
Source: Rfam
GGGCGGGUCCGGCGCGGCGGAGACCUGUGAACCGUGUCAGGUCCGAAAGGAAGCAGCACUAAAGAGGAUUCUCUGGGUGCCGCCGGGGUGCCUGCGGGUG